GGCGGGUGUGGUGGUGCACACCUGUGGUCCCAGCUACUUGGGAGGCUGAGGUAGGAGGAUCACUUGAUCCCAGGAGUUCAAGGCUGCAGUGGGCCAUGAUCAUGCUACUCCACUCCAGCCUGGGUGACAGAGUGAGACCCUAUCUCUA
RNAcentral lists this non-coding RNA (148 nucleotides) under Nomascus leucogenys (northern white-cheeked gibbon). Lineage: Eukaryota; Metazoa; Chordata; Mammalia; Primates; Hylobatidae. The record is from Rfam by way of RNAcentral.